UUUCGUACCAAAUACAAAUAACGAAUACUCGCGGGGCACACGCAGCAGGCCGAGGAGACCCAACUCCCCGCUCAGUCAACUUGCGGGGUCUAGUGUCUUAACAUCUCGCGUGCGAUGAGCCUCGUCGCCUUCGCGUAGCAAACGGGACCCGCGCGCGCGACUUUACGACGACGACGACUGUUUUAUUUUUCCGUUGAUUCGCGUUUAUUUCGGAUAUCUUGCUCCAAUUUCGAAGCGAUAAUACUGCGGACGAGUGACAAUAAGCGCUGACGAUGGGGUUAGGCGAACCCCAGCAUAGACUGUUCCUGUGCGCCGGACUUUUACUCUUUCUCGUUGUGCUCCUGCAGGGCCCGCAAGGCCUCAAUGCUCAUCUUCAGAAUGAAGAUGAUAUAACAUUCGACGGUGCACACCAUGCCAGAUCAAGCAGAUCACUACCCUAUGUAAAUAGUAAAUCUAGUCAAGAAGCAGACCACGAUCAUUGGUUCACCAAGUCGAUUCAUCGAAUUAAACGAGGAUUGUUUGAUUUUUUUGACACCAUCACUACUACCACACCGGAGCCAGACAUCGAUAACUCACUGGAUGGACAAUCGCAGAAGUUCGUUGAAGGUGACUCGAAUGAAAAGUUAGAGUCUCGAGAGAAUGAGAAUGAGGACUAUGAUGUACUCGCGCUUGAUAGCAGCAAUAAAAACUAUCAUGAAAGUCCAACAGGGGGUGCAUUUGAUGAUGAUGAAGACAACUUUGACAACUCCGGUCAUCAUUCUGGUGAACAAGACACAGAUUACAAUGAACCUAAACAUCCAGCAUAUUAUAGAAUACGUUUCACAUUGAUGGAACCCUUCAGUGAACAUAUGAGUCCAGAAGAAUAUAAAAGACUAUCAGAGCAGAUUGUUGACAAUGUUGAUCAACUCUACAAAAAUUUCGAAGGCAAUCAAACAUCAUCUGUUGUUAAAAUUCAGGGACGUAAAGAAGAUUUAUUCUCUUCGUUGGUCACAGUUGACCUUCAGAGUGAACAUUUCAACAAUGGGCAUGCAUUACGGCGUAAAUUCGAAGAUCAAAUUAACAAUUUUAAUGCAAUUGGUAGUUUGCCUGUGAAAUCAGACGAUUUUCAAUUCCAGGAGUUUGAAGGCAAACCACCUAAGUUAUGUGCAUACAAUGAAAUCGAAUGCAAAGAUGGUAAUUGUGUACCAAUUGAAGCACGUUGCAAUUCUGUCAAUGAUUGUUCAGAUGGCACUGAUGAGGAAAAUUGUUUCGAAGAUGAUCCAGUCGAAGUAGACUUUACCGUACCGACAACUACCACUGCGUCGUCGGCAGUGCCGCCGUCCGCCAACAGAUGUCGCGCCGAUGACGCAAUCCAGUGCGAAAACUCCGUUGUGUCUAUUUGCGCUGAUCAAGAAUGUGACGGUCAAAAAGAUUGCCCCGACGGCGAAGACGAGGAUGAUAUCAAAUGCGGUUUCACGAAACCAUGUGCUGUUGGUGAACUCUCCUGCGAUAUUAGCCGCUGCAUUCCGGAAAGUCAACGCUGCGAUGGCCACUACGACUGUCAAGAUAAGACGGAUGAACAAAACUGUCCAGCGAAAGCAUGCCAAUCCGGACAAUUUAGAUGUGACAACGGUCAAUGUAUCGAUAAUAGCCGCCGUUGUGAUCACAGGGCGGACUGCGAAAGAGGCGAGGACGAGUACGGUUGUCAAACAACAUCUCAUCUAAAAUGUAAUCGCACAGAAUUUCAAUGCGGGGACGGCAUGUGCAUACCGCAAGCGCAACGAUGCGAUUCACGUCCGGAUUGCAAUGACGGCGCUGACGAACGAAAUUGCCCGUGCCCGCCUAAUCACUUUGUCUGUGACAAUGGCGCGUGCAUUCGAGGACAUCUACGCUGCGACGGAAGGAGUAACUGUCAAGACCGCAGCGACGAACGAAAUUGCGAAAAUUAUAACCGAACGAUUGUGCAAACAUUAGCGCCCGGGCAUUGCCAACAUCAUCAAAAACCCUGCCGUGAUGGCACAUGCAUUGAUCAAAUCUUAUUCUGCAACGGGAGAAAUGACUGUGCGGACAAGUCCGACGAGUUGAAUUGUUGCUCGAGCGAUCAGUUCCGCUGUAGCAACGGCACGUGUCUUAACUUGGAUAAACAGUGUAAUGGUGUACAAGAUUGUGAGCACAACGAAGACGAAGAGAACUGCGGGAAAUGUCCUGAUGGCAUGUUUCGUUGCUCGAACGGGGAUUGCAUUGAAUCGGUUUACUGUUGUGAUGGGGAGAAGGAUUGUAAAGAUGGUAGCGAUGAGGAUCCUGCUAAGUGUCGCGACACCUAUCUGAAAUGCAUGUACGAUAAGGAGUUCCGAUGUUGGAAUAACGAAAAAUGCAUACCACUAACCGAACAAUGUGAUGGUCAAUACGAUUGCGCUGACCAUUCAGACGAAGAGCAAUGCAAAGAAAUUUCGGGAGUUGCCCUUGCGCCGCCCGCAAAUAUAUUUAACCCAGACGGUACAGGUGGAUGUGCCGAGUCCGAAUUUGAAUGCGCCGCAGGAUACUGCAUCGAAGAUUAUAAACGAUGCAACCAGAUUAAGGACUGUCCAAGUGGCAAUGACGAACUUGAUUGUACUUAUGAACCGGAGCCUAGCGAAGUCUGUGCUGGAGAAAAUCAUUUCUUGUGCAAUAACGGCCAGUGUAUAGAGAAAAUCUAUCGUUGCGAUAAUUACACUGAUUGCAUUGAUGGUUCCGACGAGAACAACUGUGAAGCGUGCAAGUUCACGUGUCACGACGGCACCUGCGUGAACAAUGCGGUCGUCUGCGAUGGCAUAUUCGAUUGCAUUGACGGCACCGAUGAGACGAACUGCGGGGUGUGCGCUCCGAGUCAGUUCAAAUGCAACACGGGCGAUUGCAUUCCGGACACACAGCGUUGUGAUCGACGUGUGGACUGCAGUGAUGGCUCAGAUGAGCAUGGAUGUGUCCAUCAUUGCCCGCAUGGUCAAUUCCGAUGUGAAAAUGGGCUGUGCUUGAACUCGAAAGUUGUUUGCGAUGGACAUCGAGAUUGUGCGGACGGCUCCGAUGAACGUUCAUGUCAUGCUACAUGUGGUGAUGAUGAAUUUGAAUGUGAUGAUAAGACCUGUAUCAAUAUAUCGAACCAGUGUGAUGGUCACAGCGAUUGCCCGGAUAGUUCCGAUGAACGUGGUUGUCAAUUAGAGUGUGAAGCAGACGAAUUCCAAUGCGAAGAUAACGAAUGCAUACCACUGGAUAGAAAGUGUGAUGGUCGUAGGGAUUGUAACAACGGUUUGGAUGAAUAUGAUUGUCCAGUGAUUAAUCCACCAUGUCCAGCUGGUAGCCAUCGAUGCUCGGAUGGUACCUGUAUUCAUCAAUCCAAGGUCUGCAAUGGUUACCAGGACUGUCGUGAUGGUUCCGAUGAGCAGAGUUGUGGUGGUUGUGCCCCCCAUCAGUUCGAGUGCCGAGAUGGCGAUUGUAUUCCGGCCCAUUUGCAUUGCAACGGCCGCCCGGAGUGCAGAGACGGCUCUGAUGAACACCAAUGUCCCACUCGUCCACCAGUCUUGGAUCCGGAGGAUCCAUACCGACCACCGACACAACAUCAUUGUCCACCUGGAUACCGGUCUUGUCGUAGCAGCCGCCAUUGUUAUCCUGACGCGAAGUACUGCGACAGUCGCGUGGAUUGCCCGGACGCAUCUGAUGAAGACAACUGUGUCGAAGAACCAAAGUGCACCCGUGAUGAGUUCCGUUGUGAAAAUGGGCCGUGUAUAGCUAAAUCUUUAGUGUGCAAUGGCCGCGUUGAUUGUCCGUUGGACAGAAGUGACGAAGCUGAUUGUCCUGACUUUUUCUACAAUGAUACCACCAAUGGUCUUGCCUUAAGGACAUACCCAAGUCAACAGGAAAUCAAAGAAAGCAAUUAUAGAAUUGGUCGUGAGGUUGUGUUCCAAUGCCGUGACGAGGGACCCAUGCGCGCCAAGGUUCGUUGGACGCGCGGCAACGGACUUCCUCUGCCGCCAGGAUCCCGGGACGUAAACGGACGCUUGGAAAUGCCCAACAUUCAGCGCAACCAUAGCGGAGCGUACAUUUGUUCCGCCAUUGGUAUACCAGCUCAUACUCCCGGUGCGCAGAUUCAAGUGCAUCUAGAGGUCAAUCCUUCGUGGAGGCAUGGAUUUGUAAAAUAUGGUGUUUUACCACAGAUUGAGACAGAGUAUCAUGGCACAGCCUGCGGUUUGUACCAAGCCACUUGUGCGAACGGCGAAUGCAUCGACAAACAUCUCGUCUGCAACGGCCGCGAAGAUUGCUCGGACGGAUCGGAUGAAACCAGAUGCAAUCCACAUGGAUGCGAACCGAACGAAUUCCGUUGCCCGAACAAACGCUGCAUUCUCAAGACGUGGGUGUGCGACUCCGAAGACGACUGUGGCGAUAAUGGCGACGAAAUGAAUUGCGGUGUUCGGGAACCUGGCCAAGCUUGCAGUCCCGUGCAAUAUGCGUGCAAGUCUGGUAAUCAAUGCAUACCGAAGAGUUUCCAUUGUGAUUUGCACAACGACUGCAAUGACGGCAGUGACGAAAUCGGUUGCAUGCCCGUGAAUAUCAUGCGUCCACCACCACCGAUGAUGCACUUGGAAAUCGGUCAGACAUUCCAGAUUACUUGCACGGCUGUGGGUAUUCCGGUGCCAGAGAUUAUCUGGCGCUUGAAUUGGGGACAUAUUCCUGAAAAGUGUCGCACGACUAGCGUCAAUGGCGUGGGUACAUUGAUUUGCGCGGAUAUUCAGGAAUCUGAUCAAGGCGCCUAUUCCUGUGAGGGUAUUAACAUCAAGGGAUCGGUUCUUGCGGUGCCGGAUACUAUCCUGGUGGUUAACCCACCGACCGGUGUUUGCACGAAGGGAUUCUUCAACUCGGAAGCGCGCAGUCCCAGCGAAUGCAUUGCAUGUUUCUGUUUCGGCGUGACCAGCGAAUGUUCAUCUGCUAACUUAUUCACGUAUCAUCUACCGCCACCUUUCGAUGCGCACAAGGCGCUUGGAGUUCGAAUCGACCCACAUUCUGGUGUGGUUGAUGUCCGGGACGAGCCGAUUUACAAAGGUGCUGAACCACGACUUACACCCGUACCCGGUUUGAAUGGUGUUCACGCGCAGCUUCCACGCGGAGAAUUGUUACAACCGAAUGUUAUUCCUUAUUUUGCGCUGCCCGAAAAUUACCACGGCAAUCAAUUGAAGAGUUAUGGCGGGUAUUUGAAGUAUCAAUUACUGUAUGAAGGCAAUGGUAGGCCUAUCACCGCACCAAAUGUUAUUUUAAUUGGUAAUGGAUACACCUUGUUGUACAUUGGUGAACAAUAUCAUGCGGGUACUCGUGCUGAAGUUAUUGUUCGAUUCUUCUUUGGCGAAUGGGUAAAGCGAUCUGAGUCUAGACCAGAAACAUUGGCAACUCGCGAGGAAAUCAUGAUGGCCCUGGCAUCGGUUGAGAAUAUUCUAAUCAAAUUGCAAUAUAUUGAAGGACAUUUAGAUACGAACAUUAAUAAAAUUGAAAUGGAUUCUGCGGCAGUUAGGAAUACAGAUUUAGGUAAAGCAACGUUCGUGGAAGAGUGUGCUUGUCCGACUGGACAUAGUGGUUUGUCUUGUGAGACUUGUGAUGCUGGAUACUCUCGUCAUCGCAACGGUCCAUGGCUUGGACAGUGCUACAAAGAAGUGGAAACAUGUCCAUCCGGUUAUUAUGGUGAUCCUUCAAGAGGAAUCGCAUGUCAAGUUUGUCCCUGCCCACUGACCGAUCCACGCAACCAAUUCGCUUCAACUUGUUCCCUGGACACUGACGGUCAAGUAACAUGUAAUUGUCCCCCGGAGUAUAUGGGACGACGAUGCGAACAUUGCGCUCAUGGCUACACUGGAAAUCCAUUACUUGCCGGUGAUUCCUGUAAACCAGCUACGAGUCGCUGCAGUGCUGAAGGGUCAACUGGAGUGGACGCGUAUGGACAAUGUCAAUGCAAGAUCAACACAAUGGGCCGAACUUGUAACAAUUGCAAGAAUAAUACUUUCCACCUCGCCAGCGAGAAUCAAUUCGGAUGCAUCUCAUGUUUCUGCAUGGGGAUCACCGAACAAUGCAUCAGUUCAAAUUGGUACAGAGAUAGCAUUAACGCUGCGUUCACUCGAUCCAAGCAAGAAUUUAAACUUGUUGAAUCAAACCACAUCAACACGCAUAUUGAGGACGGAAUUAUCUUGGAUACAAAUGCGAGAGAAAUUAUAUACAAUAACUUCAGGCGUCCGGACGUUUACUACUGGUCGUUACCGUCAAGGUUCCUCGGUAAUAAGAUAACAUCCUAUGGUGGAAACUUGAGAUACAGUUUGCGUUAUGUACCAACUCCUGGUGGCCUUAGCUCAAAGAACAAUGCGCCUGAUGUUGAACUUAUCAGUUCCAAUCACAUUACAUUGACUUAUUUUGCCCGAGAACAACCCCCGCCGAAUACGGUGCAAACAUUGACUGUGCCUCUACUGGAACAAUACUGGCAGCGCUCUGAUGGCCAAAAGAUUGACCGCGAACACCUAAUGAUGGCUCUAGCUGAUGUUGAAGCCAUUUUGAUUAAAGCAACUUAUACAACGAGCACACGCGAAGCUGCGCUACAAUCAGUGAGUUUGGAUAUUGCAGAUGAACGGAAUACCGGAAGAGAAAAAGCAAUGUCAGUUGAACAAUGUUAUUGUCCAACUGGUUACAAGGGAUUAUCGUGUGAAGACUGCGAAGUUGGUUACACUCGUGCCAUCGGUGGUAUUUACCUAGGUACCUGUGAAGUUUGUCAAUGCAAUGGUUUAUCGAACGAAUGCGAUCCGGAAACCGGCGAAUGCUACAACUGCAGAGAUUCCACAACCGGACCUAACUGUGACACGUGCCUUCCUGGUUACGAAGGAGAUCCAUCAAAUAGAGUUCCAUGCAGAUUUAUUGGCGGUGGUGGUCAAACUUCAGAAGCGUGCAGAUGCAAUCCCGAUGGUUCUAUUUCUAACGAUUGCUUCGGUGGUGUGUGCCAGUGUAAAACUAACGUAGAAGGUCCUAACUGUGAUCGAUGCCGAGAGGGUACUUUUGGUUUGAACGGAUCUGUCGCUGAGGGUUGUCAGUCCUGUUUCUGUUCGGGUGUUGUUUCUGACUGUAGAGAGAGCAACUUGUACAUCACUCAAAUACCGAUUCAGAUUCUCGAUGACGACAGUCAUGGUAUUACAUUAACUGAUUCGGCUCAAACUGAACGGAUUUCUAAUUCGUUUGAGUUGAACAUUCAGUCCAACGAAAUUGGUUUUACAUUUAGACCAAGCAUGAAUCAGCGCUUGAUGUGGUCAUUGCCGAGGCAAUUCACUGGCUCAAAAAUUACAUCUUACGGAGGAAAAUUAGAGUUUAUUCAAAGGUAUACUCAACGACCGGAUGCUUACUACAUUAGGGACCAAGAUGUCAUCAUUAAUGGACAUGGUAUUAGUAUCUUCUGGACCAAUCCAAGACAAUUACAACCUAAUUUUGCCAAUAAAGUCUCGGUUACUUUGAGUCCCAGUGCAAACUGGCAAAGACUUGAUCAUCGAUCUGCACCGAAACCAGCUUCCAGGGAGGACAUUCUGAAAGUGUUAGCGAAUGUGAACUCAAUUCUUAUUCGGGCGCGUUUAUCAUCUGACACUGCUAGUUCUUUCAUUAGCGAUGUUACAUUAGAUACAACUUUCGAUCAGAACACAGGUCAACCAAAAGCUACAAAUGUAGAAGUUUGCAGCUGUCCACGCCAUUAUAGCGGAACAUCUUGCGAAUCUUGCGCUUUGGGUUACUACAGAGACUUCAACGACUUGGGAUCGGGACCUUUGGGCUCAUGCAACAAGUGUCCGUGCAACGACAACGAUCGUUCCUGUCACUACGAUUACGAAUCAGCCAGCGUUGUCUGUGAAUGCCGUGAAGGAUUCAGCGGGCGACAAUGCGAGCAUUAUAUAACCUCUACUGAAAGGCCACCAAUAGAUCCGAAUCCAAAUAUUCCUACGAUUACAGUACAAAUCAGUCAACCAAGUUUGAUUAUUCAGGAAGUGGGACAGUCUGUAACGUAUACUUGCUCCGCUAGCUCCACUGUGAACAACGAUGUCAGGCUCAAUUGGAGCCGGGCCCACGGAAAUCUACCCAAUCGAGCAAUUGAUGACAGGCGUGGUCGUUUGGUAAUCACGAAUCUUCAAGUGAGCGAUUCCGGAACCUACAUUUGCCAAGCCGACGAUAAUGUAUCCAUUGUUGAAGAGCGUGUUAACUUGGUUGUUGGUGCUUUUCCGAAGAGUUUAGUUAACGUUCCAGGAAACUCUCCUACGUCUCCACAAGCAAUGGUCUAUCCACAAUAUUUGAACAUCACGGAAGGGGAACCGAUUGAAGUUCGUUGCCAAGCAACCGGCAAUCCGGAGCCAUCUUUGGAAUGGAUUAAACUUACCCGAGACAUUCUUAGCCCGCACACAUUCCACAAUGGAAUCUUCCGCAUCGAUAGAGCAAUGAAGUACGAUGAAGGCGAGUAUGAGUGUGUGGCCAAGAAUAAUUUAGGAACGCAUUCAGCGAGAGCGAGGAUUGUCGUGAAGAGCAGUCUGGAACCAUCCAUUCAACCGAUUAUUACCCCCAGCAGUUACUACGGCAGUGCUGGUGAAUCCUUCACCCUACAUUGUGAAGCAGGUGGUGCCGCCCGAGGUGGUAUCACAUGGUCAAAGGAACGCGGGCAGAUUCCCUACAAUCACCGAGAUGAACACGGUUUGCUUAUUGUCAAUAAUGCACAGCCAGAAGACUCUGGAAUUUAUAUUUGCAAUGGCGUCACGGAAUUUGGAGCAGUGGGACGCGCAUACGCCAAUGUAACGAUUGUACACAGAAGCAACUCAUUUCCGCCGACCGUCUCCAUUGCUCAAAGCAACGAACACGUGAAUCAAGGAACUAAUAUUGAAGUAACUUGUGAGUUUACUGGAUCACCCACGCCUACCGUCAAAUGGACCAAGGUCAAUGAACCAAUGCCUGAUUACGUGAAUCCUUCGGAUCCGGUCCUGCGGUUGAGAAAUGUGCAGUUUGGCGAUCGUGGACUUUAUUCUUGUUUGGCACAAAACGGACUCGGUCUCGCUCAAGGCAGCGUCCUCAUCGAGGUUGAUCGCCGGGUGCCGCCGAGUGUUUCGAUUUAUCCGAAUACGACUCAGGUGGUUACAGCCGGUGAUAGGGUGAUGGUGCAAUGCAGAGUUACAGCAGGUGUUCCCAUGCCGGAUCUCAGCUGGAGACGAGUGGAUAACAGACCUAUAUCUCACCAAGCUUCUGUUGCCCGCGGUGUGAUAAGCCUGAUGGAAAUUCGUUUGGAAGAUGCAGGCGAAUACGAAUGUACGGCUGAGAACGAUGCAGGGAGGGUGACAUCAAUUGCUUCAAUUGUUGUACGUGAAUUACCAACAGUUCGCAUCAAUCCAUCUGAGUCAAUGUUGAAAGUCCAGCGUGGCGAAUAUGUACGCUUGGAAUGUACAGGCCACGGCUCGCCUCAACCGAGCGUUGAAUGGGUAGCGCACACGCGUAGAGAGUCAUUUUAUAGUGGUUUGUCUGGUCUCAGCCCUGAAAGCCAACACAGAACCUUCACGAAUCAUGCGGUGAAAGAAAUUACACAGGCAACCGAGGACGAUGAAGGUACUUACAUCUGUUCGGGUAGAAGCGACGCUGGAGUAAGUGAAGAGAGGAUUGAGUUAAUUGUCACCAAUGAUUUCCCAUCACGAGGUGAUAUUACCGGCAAUCGUACGCAAAGCAAAGAUGAAGAUCCUGGCGGUACCGGCGAGUCGCGUUUGAAAAAUAACGAGCCUCUGCGCCCCAUUCAGAAUAAAACGUUUAUCGUGCCAGCCGGAAACCGAGCGGAGCUGCGGUGUAACAUUGACAACAACGAAGGCGAACCGAUUCACACCACCUGGAUCCGAAUUGGCGGUAAACCCUUACCCACAAACUUUUAUGUUCAAAAUGGCACUUUGAUCUUGGACAAUACGCAUCCCACCGACGCUGGCGAGUACAACUGCUUGGGACGAUCGACCAUCACGAACAAGACUAUUUUCAGGGUAGUCGCGAACUUGAAAGUCUUAACGAUACCCCGAAUCAGAUUACAACCACCGAGGCAAAUUGUUCGUCCUGGAGCGGACGCUACCAUCGAAUGUAGCGCAACAGGCGAUCAACCCAUCAAUAUUACCUGGACGGGACAUAAUCGAGCAUUGUCUAAUAAUGUUUAUGCUAGGGAUGGUCUUUUGCAUUUCCGAGGUAUUCAACUAUCCGAUGCGGGCACAUACAGAUGCAGGGCUGUAAACAGUAUUGGAGAAGCUGAUGCUGUUGCGGAGGUUGUUGUCCAAGACGAUAACUCUCAACCACCAAAUACGAACAAACAUCAAAAUGCUCAAGUUGGGGACACAGUAACACUGACCUGCAACGCCGGAAAUUCACGGGUGUAUUGGUCAAAACACAACGCUCAAUUACCAGCCCAUCAUAGCCAGAGCGGAACGUACGGUGAAGAACUUAGAAUUUACAAUGUCUCCUCCGCAGAUAGCGGUGAAUAUUACUGUGAAUCAACGGCGCCAGGAUCACCGAGGCAAUUUGUCUCCCUGCACGUCGCAUGUGCACCAUUUUGUUCAUGUAAUUGUCCCUGUAUUUUAUGCAUGGACAACUUCAGGGUGCGGAAAGAAGCGCAGAAGCCAUCAAAACCGGAACUGGACAUUCACGCAUCAACACCAACGCCACGGUCGGGUGAUAAUGUGGAGAUCUACUGUAGAUCCAAUGAACCUGGCGUCAUUGUAAUCUGGACCAAAUUGAACGGACGCAAAGCGGACAACGUUAAAAUUAAUGGCGGACAACUGACAUUCCAUUCCAUCAGACCUGAAAACAACGGCGUAUACAGGUGUGAAGCGAGAGGAUACGAAGGAUUCUACCAUAAAGAUCACUUUAUUGAUGUGAGUGAUGAUAUGAACAACGAUAAUGUGAAUACAAAAACGGCAAUGGCGGGUUCAACGGUUGUACUGGCUUGUGAAACCCAAUUAGAUGCACCCGUAACUUUCACGUGGACCAAAGAUAAAGGCCUGUUACCUAAAGGAAUUGACAUACACAGCCACUCAAUACAAUUGAAAAAUGUUGGUGUUAAUGAUGCCGGUACUUACAUUUGCACAUCAUCAAAUCCUCAUAAAACUCUACAAGCAAAGAAUAUUUUGAUUAUUGAGGGCGUGGUUCCCUAUUUCACACAAGCACCAACCAGCUACAUUGAAUUGGUACCACUUCCCGAUUCGUAUCUUCAGUUCACCUUGGAGAUUUCAUUCAAGCCGGAGAAUCAUGAUGGUUUGAUCCUGUACAAUGGUCAUAAACGUAAUGCAUCCGACGGUGACUUUAUUUCCCUCGCACUGCGCAACGGUAUUCCCGAAUUCAAAUACAAUAUGGGUCAAAACUCCUCCGCUGUUGUCAAUAGUGAGCGACCAUUGACGAUGCACGAAUGGCACACUAUCAAGAUCAUUCGUAUGAGGAGAAAGGUAACCAUGUACGUUGAUGGCGAGGGACCAUUUACUGCUUUAGCCAGUAGUAAAUAUUCAUCUUUGUCACUCUCCGAACCCCUGUACUUGGGUGGUGUACCAAGCUUUGAUCAAAUUUCGCCAUUGGUGGGCAGCAACAAGGGAAUGGUGGGUUGUAUCGCUGCAUUCAAAAUAGGCCAUGCCAUCGUUGAUAUCUCUAGAGAAGCGAUUGGCAAGAAAGGUAUCACAAACUGCGAAACAUGCUCGGAAAAUCCUUGCGAAAAUCACGGAAUGUGCCAAGGAGCAUUAACCAAAGAAGGAUUUACUUGUAUCUGUCCGACAGGCAUUAGCGGCCCUACCUGUAACAAAAUCGGAGCAGAAUCUUGCAAUGCCCACACUUGUGGAGUCGGUUCAUGCGUCGAAACUGAUGAUAGCUAUCAAUGUAAAUGUCCGAUAGGUCGUGUUGGUAGGCAUUGUGAACGCACAGUCGAAAUCAUUGAGCCAGCGUUUUCAAAGAAUGCUUACAUUGCGUAUCCUACACCAAAUCAAGUUAGGCGUCUUAAAAUCUCAAUGAAAAUAAAGCCUAGAGAUACGAGUGAUGGUUUGAUUGCCUAUUGCGGUGAGACGGAAGAGGGAGAUGGCGAUUUUGUGAGUUUAGCAGUGAAAGACAGGCACUUACAAUUCAGAUUUGAUGUUGGCAAUGGCCCAGUGAUCAUCAAGAGUGAAAAUGAACUGGUACCUAAUAAAUGGGUCAUCAUAACAGCAAGCCGAUCAGUUAAUGAAGGACGAUUGAUUGUUAAUGGAGACAAUGUCGUCAUUGGCAAAUCAAGUGGUAUUCACAGAGCACUGCAACUUCGUACACCUUUCUUCAUCGGCGGUUACGAUACGGAGAAAAUCAAACUGAAUCAUGGCAUUGGUGUUGACGAAGGUUUCAAUGGCUGUAUUUCUGAAGUUAGUGUGUCUAGCUUGGAUAUUCAUCCAAUCCAUUCGGCCCAAGACGCUUCGAACGUUCAGGAUUGCAGUUCGGUAGAUGACGGAUUUGAUCAUGACUCAGAUAACGACGUGAGCGCAUUCGGGGACGUGCAGAGAUACGACACAAGAAAAACUGGCUGUUCCAGCAUCCCAUGCCGAAAUAACGGGCAGUGUUAUCCACUUUCACCUGUCGAAUAUAAAUGUUCUUGUGUUAAUGGAUUCAGCGGCGAUAACUGCGAAAUUCCACCAAAUCAGUGCGAUCAUUUGAGGCCCUGUCAAAACCAUGGUACGUGCGAGGGCACAUCAAGCCAAUAUGUCUGUCACUGUCCAAUGGGCUACACAGGAAUUAAUUGUGAACAUCCGGCAACAAUCAGAAAUGAUGCCAAUUUCAAUGGAAACGGAUAUAUUGAAUUUAGUAAGGACAGGCUAGAUCAUUCGAAUGACGAAAAAGAGGAGGUGAUUGCGUUGGAAUUAUCGACGAACUCCAGCAAUGGUCUGAUUUUCUGGCAGGGUCAGAGACAGUAUGAUACUUCUGGAGAGGAUUACAUCGCCUUAGCACUCGUGAAUGGAUAUUUGGAGUUCAGUUAUGAUUUGGGCAAUGGGCCAGCAAUCAUCCGCAAUGAGAAAGUACGUAUUGAUGAUGGUACUCGUCACAGAGUCAUUCUAAAGCGCAGUGGACGCGAAGGUUCCAUCGAAGUGGAUAGUGACUAUGUAGAACAUGGCGAAGCCCCAGGCAUUACCAAUCAAUUGAAUUGCAGUGGGAAUAUUUACUUAGGCGGAACUCCCAACAAUAGGGAAAUGACAAGAGACCGCUUUACCGAAAACUUCAAAGGAUGCAUCCACGGCUUUGAAUUGCAGGACUCCUACCUGCUGGAUAUGGGCAGCACUGCUAUAUCUGGCGUCAACGUGAAAGCUUGCUACCGUUGGAUUCCGUCCUCGUUAAUAUUCACAGAUUCCGAUCAAUUCGAUGAAAUCAUUCCGCCACCUCCCGUGAACAUAAUCCAUCCGAAACCUUCCUCGUCCGGCACCGCAACGCGCACCCAUCUACUCGAUUGUGCGUGUUGCUCUUUCCUUGGUUUGCUCACGUUGCUCUUGCUUUGACUAAAAAUCUAAGCGCAGGUGUGGUGCGAACUUGAUUGUUGAUUGUCCAUUUAAUGUUAUCCAGUUAUGUAUAUAUAUAACAUACAACUAAUGCCAAUUUGCCAAUUAAUGUAUUGCUGCAAAACCAUCUAUCAAAAAGCAAUUUAGCCAGUAGUCCUAAUCGUAAUGAAUGAGCAAUGAGAGUGAAGUGAGCGAUGAUGCAUAUCUUGUAAAUAUAAUUGCAAUGUUGAAGCUGUGUGUACUCAUUGUAAAUAGUCUAAUGUAACACGUAUACUAAUUAAUUUGUUAAGGGAAUUAUUAGACUGAUAUUGCUUAUAUUAUUAUAAAUAACGACUCUUAAUACUAACGCAAGUUUAACGCAAUGCUCGGAUUUAAUAAGACGGAGGAUUCCUAUAAUAGAAUAUAAGGAGAUAAUGAAAACAAUGAAACCGCGUAGCUCAUAUUAAUAUUUUUGUGUGUUCUUAUUUGUGUUCAGACCGAGACGAAAAUAAUUUGUAACGAAAUGUUAUCUGCAUGUUCAUUAGUUAUCUUAUCUUGAUGUUAACUAAUAUUUUAAUACUUAACUCCCAAAUUGGUACAUGAAAGAAUACUGUUACCAUCAAACAUACACAGUUACACAUCUUUACAACUGCCAUGGAUUUUUUUAAUACGCUAUACCAUAAUGUGUUUUCUUAUUAUAAUUUGAUGAUUAAUUGUGCCAUUUCAUAAUAAAUAAUUGUUAUAACAGCGCGUUAAGACCAAGUCAGUCCGCCAUUAUCUUACAGCCAUAUGUAAUGUAGAAACGCUCCUACUUUGUAAAAUCUUUAAUGCAUUAUAAUCAUGUGAUCGCGGAAUGGUAACACAAACGUAUCAACAAUGGUGAUUAACAAAUUAUAUAUAAAUAUAUAAAUAUAUACAUAUUUAAAUACAUAAACGAAAUGAAAUACUAGUUUAAGGUACAUAUAAAUAAUGAGAAUUUUAUUACCUUUGAACUUUAUAUUACGCUUUGCAAUCAGUUUCUGUUAUUAUUAUGUUAAAGACAUGCAUCUGUUCUUUGCAACGAAACUUUUGUUUAUACAUGGAGGCGAAUCUAGAAACGAACGUAACUCAAUUGCAUUAUUAUAGAUCUUGCAGUAAAAUGUAUGUUGAGGGCUUUGUGUAGUUUACUAAUUUCUGUACUUCGUAGGUGAAUGAAGUGACAAUGCCUUCAUACCGCAAUUUGUUGUUGUAAUUAACUGAAUAUGGUCAAGUGCAUUUUAAUAACAUGAAGACAAUAAUUAUGAUUAUUAAAUAAAUGUACAAAACGAACGAUAUACGUUACAGAAUCACAUUCAUCCAGAAAUAACACAAAUGCUUACGAAAUAAAGUUUAAUUUGAAUGCUACAAGAAAA
This is an RNA transcript of Dalotia coriaria, 14875 nucleotides long. It is a transcript of the gene named terribly reduced optic lobes, with no coding region annotated. The record is from RefSeq and is a predicted model, not a curated record. The transcript is spliced from 54 exons. Lineage: Eukaryota; Metazoa; Arthropoda; Insecta; Coleoptera; Staphylinidae.